RNAcentral lists this ribosomal RNA (350 nucleotides) under uncultured bacterium. Its description in RNAcentral is "bacterial SSU rRNA". It matches the Rfam family "Bacterial small subunit ribosomal RNA", at positions 8 to 350 of the family's 1533-position model. The record is from RNAcentral.
AGAGUUUGAUCCUGGCUCAGGACGAACGCUGGCGGCGCGCCUAACACAUGCAAGUCGAACGAGAGAUGAGGAGCUUGCUCUUCAAAUCGAGUGGCGAACGGGUGAGUAACGCGUGAGGAACCUGCCUCAAAGAGGGGGACAACAGUUGGAAACGACUGCUAAUACCGCAUAAGCCCACGGCUCGGCAUCGAGCAGAGGGAAAGGAGCAAUCCGCUUUGAGAUGGCCUCGCGUCCGAUUAGCUAGUUGGUGAGGGUAACGGCCCACCAAGGGCGACGAUCGGUAGCCGGACUGAGAGGUUGAACGGCCACAUUGGGACUGAGACACGGACCCAGACUCCGUACGGGAGGCA